CACCUGGGGGGCUAUUGUCAGCUCAGUUGGUAGAGCAGGCGAUUCCGAACCGCAGGGCUGUGGGUUCGAGUCUCACACUGGGUGA
Podarcis lilfordi (Lilford's wall lizard) is the source of this 85-nucleotide non-coding RNA. The record is from the annotation of a GenBank genome assembly. Lineage: Eukaryota; Metazoa; Chordata; Lepidosauria; Squamata; Lacertidae.